RNAcentral lists this ribosomal RNA (465 nucleotides) under uncultured bacterium. Its description in RNAcentral is "partial 16S ribosomal RNA". It matches the Rfam family "Bacterial small subunit ribosomal RNA", at positions 28 to 507 of the family's 1533-position model. The record is from RNAcentral.
GACGAACGCUGGCGGCGUGCUUAACACAUGCAAGUCGAACGGAAAGGCCCUGCUUGCCGGGUACUCGAGUGGCGAACGGGUGAGUAACACGUGGGUGAUCUGCCCUGCACUUCGGGAUAAGCCUGGGAAACUGGGUCUAAUACCGGAUAGGAGCCAUUUUUAGUGUGAUGGUUGGAAAGUUUUUUCGGUGUAGGAUGAGCUCGCGGCCUAUCAGCUUGUUGGUGGGGUAAUGGCCUACCAAGGCGGCGACGGGUAGCCGGCCUGAGAGGGUGGACGGCCACAUUGGGACUGAGAGACGGCCCAGACGCCGACGGGAGGCAGCAGUGGGGAAGAUUGCACAAGGGGCGCAAGCCGGAUGCAGCGACGCCGCGGGGGGGAUGACGGCCUUCGGGUUGUAAACUCCUUUCGCUAGGGACGAAGCUUUUUGUGACGGUACCUAGAGAAGAAGCACCGGCUAACUACGUG